This 843-nucleotide ribosomal RNA is filed under the name uncultured organism. RNAcentral's name for it is "bacterial SSU rRNA". It matches the Rfam family "Bacterial small subunit ribosomal RNA", at positions 24 to 841 of the family's 1533-position model. The record is from RNAcentral.
UCAGGACGAACGCUGGCGGCGUGGAUAAGGCAUGCAAGUCGAGCGCGAAAGCUCCCUUCGGGGAGUGAGUAGAGCGGCAAACGGGUGAGUAACACGUGAGUAAUCUGCCUUUAGGUGGGGGACAACUUCGGGAAACCGGAGCUAAUACCGCAUAAUGUUAUUUGUUCGCAUGGACGAAUAACCAAAGGGGGGCACUUCUAUCCUCCCGCCUGAAGAGGAGCUCGCGCCUGAUUAGCUAGUUGGUGAGGUAAAAGCUCACCAAGGCGAUGAUCAGUAGUCGGUCUGAGAGGAUGGCCGGCCACACUGGGAUUGAGAUACGGCCCAGACUCCUACGGGAGGCAGCAGUCUAGAAGCUUCGGCAAUGGGGGAAACCCUGACCGAGCGACGCCGCGUGCAGGACGAAGGCCUUCGGGUUGUAAACUGCUUUCGACUGGGAGGAAAGGUAGUGUAGUUAAUACCUGCAUUGCUUGACAGUACCAGGAGAAGAAGCCCCGGCUAACUCCGUGCCAGCAGCCGCGGUAAUACGGAGGGGGCAAGCGUUGUUCGGAUUUAUUGGGCGUAAAGCGCGCGUAGGUGGUUAAGUAAGUCGGAUGUUAAAGACCCACGGCUCACCCGGGGGAAUGCGUCCGAUACUGCUUGGCUAGAGUACAGGAGAGGGAAGUGGAAUUCCUGGUGUAGCGGUGAAAUGCGUAGAUAUCAGGAGGAACACCGGUGGCGAAGGCGGCUUCCUGGCCUGUAACUGACACUGAGGCGCGAAAGCGUGGGUAGCGAACGGGAUUAGAUACCCCGGUAGUCCACGCCGUAAACGUUGGAUACUAGGUGUCGGGGGUUUUCUACCCCCUC